This 492-nucleotide ribosomal RNA is filed under the name uncultured bacterium. RNAcentral describes it as "partial 16S ribosomal RNA". It matches the Rfam family "Bacterial small subunit ribosomal RNA", at positions 29 to 507 of the family's 1533-position model. The record is from RNAcentral.
AGUGAACGCUGGCGGUAGGCCUAACACAUGCAAGUCGAACGGCAGCACAAUAAGAGCUUGCUCUUACGGGUGGCGAGUGGCGGACGGGUGAGGAAUACAUCGGAAUCUACUUUUUCGUGGGGGCUAACGUAGGGAAACUUACGCUAAUACCGCAUACGACCUACGGGUGAAAGCAGGGGAUCUUCGGACCUUGCGCGAUUGAAUGAGCCGAUGUCGGAUUAGCUAGUUGGCGGGGUAAAGGCCCACCAAGGCGACGAUCCGUAGCUGGUCUGAGAGGAUGAUCAGCCACACUGGAACUGAGACACGGUCCAGACUCCUACGGGAGGCAGCAGUGGGGAAUAUUGGACAAUGGGCGCAAGCCUGAUCCAGCCAUACCGUGUGGGUGAAGAAGGCCUUCGGGUUGUAAAGCCCUUUUGUUGGGAAAGAAAAGCAGCAGGUUAAUACCCCGCUGUUCUGACGGUACCCAAAGAAUAAGCACCGGCUAACUUCGUG